Molecule: ribosomal RNA, 468 nt
Filed under: uncultured bacterium
Lineage: Bacteria
Description: partial 16S ribosomal RNA
Rfam family: Bacterial small subunit ribosomal RNA
Source: RNAcentral
GACGAACGCUGGCGGCGUGCUUAACACAUGCAAGUCGGACGGAAAGGCCCUGCUUUUUUGGGGUUCUCGAGUGGCGAACGGGUGAGUAACACGUGAGUAACCUGCCCUUGACUUUGGGAUAACUUCAGGAAACUGGGGCUAAUACCUGAUAGGAGCUCCUGCUGCAUGGUGGGGUUUGGAAAGUUUCGGCGGUUGGGGAUGGACUCGCGGGUUAUCAGCUUGUUGGUGGGGUAGUGGCUUACCCAGGCUUUGACGGGUAGCCGGCCUGAGAGGGUGACCGGCCACAUUGGGACUGAGAUACGGCCCAGACUGCUACGGGAGGCAGUAGUGGGGAAUAUGGCACAAUGAGCGGAAGCCUGAUGCAGCAACGCCGCGUGCGGGAAGAAGGCCUUCGGGUUGUAAACCGCUGUAGCCUGUGACGAAGCGUGAGUGACGGUAAUGGGUAAAGAAGCACCGGCUAACUACGUG